UGUGACAUCUUCAACUGCUUUGUGAAGUCUACUACAAUAUACUGCAAGUAAGAUGAUUUCCUAGCCUUCUGAAGAGAAUAUCUUACUCUGCGUUUGUGACAUACGUGCAUCAUCAUGCUUUCCAGUGUCAGACAUAACGGACACAAUGAUCACAAAUUUACCCAGUGACCACUGCAUGCUAUCCUCGCUGCCAGGGAGGAUGAAGAUCUACACAGCCCAUGAUUCUUACCCUGGGGGAGCUUGGACAAACUUUGAACAUGAAACCAUCAUGACAAUACAAAGGUUUCAAGUUCUGUCCCACAAUUUUCCAGUGAUUCUACAAGGAGCAAAGUCCAUAAGCAAAAGGUUUGAGCUAAAAACAUAACCAUCAGCAAAUAUUUAAGAUGUUUUUA
Long non-coding RNA from Herpailurus yagouaroundi (jaguarundi), 392 nucleotides. RefSeq lists it as uncharacterized. The transcript is spliced from 3 exons. The record is from RefSeq and is a predicted model, not a curated record. NCBI's taxonomy places the organism in Eukaryota, Metazoa, Chordata, Mammalia, Carnivora, Felidae.